AGAGUUUGAUCCUGGCUCAGAAUGAACGUUGGCGGCGUGGAUUAGGCAUGCAAGUCGAGCGUACCCAGCAAUGGGGAAGCGGCAAACGGGGUAGUAAGGCGUCGGUACGUGCCCUCGGGACGAGGAUAGCCACGGGAAACUGUGGGUAAUACUCGAUGUCAUCGUGAGAUCAAAGGUGUGAUUCCGCCCGGGGAGCGGCUGACGUGGUAUUAGGUAGUUGGUGGGGUAAUGGCCCACCAAGCCUGGGAUGCCUAGGGGGUGUGAGAGCAUGGCCCCCACCAUUGGGACUGAGAUACUGCCCAGACACCUACGGGUGGCUGCAGUCGAGGAUCUUCGGCAAUGGGCGCAAGCCUGACCGAGCGACGCCGCGUGCGGGAUGAAGGCCUUCGGGUUGUAAACCGCUGCCAGGGGGGAUGAAAUCAUGGUGGGUUCUCCCAUCAUGUUGACAGAGCCCCAGAGGAAGCGCGGGCUAAGUUCGUGCCAGCAGCCGCGGUAAUACGAACUGCGCGAACGUUAUUCGGAAUCACUGGGCUUACAGGGUGCGUAGGCGGCGAAGAAAGUAGGGUGUGAAAUGCCUUGGCUCAACCAAGGCACUGCGCUCUAAACUCCUUUGCUUGAGUGAGUCAGGGGUACGCGGAACUUCCGGUGGAGCGGUGAAAUGUGUUGAUAUCGGAAGGAACACCGGUGGCGAAAGCGGCGUACUGGGGCUUAACUGACGCUGAGGCACGAAAGCCAGGGUAGCGAACGGGAUUAGAUACCCCGGUAGUCCUGGCUGUAAACGAUGAGCACUGGACGGGAGGGGCUUCGGCCUCUCCGGUCGUAGCGAAAGCGUUAUGUGCUCCGCAUGGGGAGUAUGGUCGCAAGGCUGAAACUCAAAGGAAUUGACGG
RNAcentral lists this ribosomal RNA (888 nucleotides) under uncultured bacterium. RNAcentral describes it as "bacterial SSU rRNA". It matches the Rfam family "Bacterial small subunit ribosomal RNA", at positions 8 to 916 of the family's 1533-position model. The record is from RNAcentral.